AGAAUCCACAAUGGCCGUGCCUGUGUAGCCGUCGUUUCCGCAGCUGAAGAGGAGCCUUUCCCUAAACAGCCACCUCCACUUUACCUUGGUUUGAGUGCUUGCCGGUGCCAGGCUCCGGGUCCUGAGUGGCUCUUUGUUGCCUCAAAGACCAAACCCUGUCCAGUCAGACUUGCACAGCUCUCUGUCUUCAUUGGAACUGACUCAUUGGAAGAGACCCUGGUGCUGGGAAAUAUUGAAGGCAAGAGGAGAAGGGGAUGACAGAGGAUGAGAUGGUUGGAUGGCAUCACCAACUCGAUGGACAUGAGUUUGAGCAAGCUCCAGGAGUUGGUGAUGGACAGGGAGGCCUGGCAUGCUGCAGUCCACAGGGUCGCAAAGAGUCAGACACGACUGAGCAACUGAACUGAACUGUCUUAAUUUUCUCAUGCAGUCCUCAAAGCAGCUCUGGGCCGUGUCUCAUCACCCACUUCUACACGUGUCCAACUCUGCAAUUCAGGAUCAGCAAUUGCCCUGAAUCUCCCAGCUCCUGAGUAGUACUGAGAGGACUUGAACCCAGGAUUCUGAUAACAAUUCACUGGCUCUUUUUUUUUGUUUUUUCCACCAUUUAGCAUAUUCCUAGGGAGAUGCCAUUUUCUCAAAUGUUUGGGCAAUGGCAGCUUGGUUUAAGUGCGGAAUAAGUGUGUGGCCUCACAAUUAGGAGAUAAAGGAGACCACUGUGGAGAAGACCACUGUUUGAAAAAAAACAUAAAAAGGCUUUACUAUCGUGGUGAUAUGCUUACCACACCCGCUUCUAUACCCAUGGACUCACUUUUCCUGCCUCUUGUCUGCAAGUUCCUCCUCCUCCCCUGUCUCUUCUCCUCCUACUUCUCUUUUCUUCACUUUUUUUUUUUUUCAUCUUUCUCAAUGAUCCCUCUCCCUGAAAGGGAGAAAAGGCUUUCCAGAGCCCUCUGCUUAUAUAAUUUCUUCCUCCAUUAAUCUGUUGUCAAUUAGUUAAUAAUUAAUUACUAAGUGACCUACUAAUACUGGUUUGUUAGUACUCCUCUGAUGGCCUUUAUCAUAUUCUGCCUUGUUGUCAUCAUUACUUGGGGACUUGUCUUAGGGCAUCUGUUCAAUUCUCGGCUGGAUGAGAACAGUUUCUGGGUUGGUCUCACCCAGCCUGAACUUCUCGUGUGGUAUCAGAGGCUGGGCCAGAGCAAGACACUGAUUUAGCUCAAAGGUGCUGACAGCAGCCCAAUUCCCUCACCAGCAAAUGUCAAGAGGAAAUAUCUGCCAUGGAGAGGCCCCAAGAG
This is a long non-coding RNA of Bos taurus (domestic cattle), 1286 nucleotides long. The record is from Ensembl. Lineage: Eukaryota; Metazoa; Chordata; Mammalia; Artiodactyla; Bovidae.